This 301-nucleotide ribosomal RNA is filed under the name uncultured bacterium. RNAcentral's name for it is "partial 16S ribosomal RNA". It matches the Rfam family "Bacterial small subunit ribosomal RNA", at positions 509 to 807 of the family's 1533-position model. The record is from RNAcentral.
CAGCCGCCACGGUAAUACGUAGGUGGCAAGCGUUGUCCGGAAUUAUUGGGCGUAAAGGGCUCGCAGGCGGUUUCUUAAAUCUGAUGUGAAAGCCCCCGGCUCAACCGGGGAGGGUCAUUGGAAACUGGGAGACUUGAGUGCAGAAGAGGAGAGUGGAAUUCCACGUGUAGCGGUGAAAUGCGUAGAGAUGUGGAGGAACACCAGCGGCGAAGGCGACUCUCUGGUCUGUAACUGACGCUGAGGAGCGAAAGCGUGGGGAGCGAACAGGAUUAGAUACCCCAGUAGUCCCUGUCUCUUAUAC